GACGAACGCUGGCGGCGUGCUUAACACAUGCAAGUCGAACGGAAAGGCCCUGCUUUUGUGGGGUGCUCGAGUGGCGAACGGGUGAGUAACACGUGAGUAACCUGCCCUUGACUUUGUGAUAACUUCAGGAAACUGCGGCUAAUACCGGAUAGGAGCUCCUGCUGCAUGUUGGGGGUUGGAAAGUUUCGGCGGUUGGGGAUCGAUUCGCGGCUUAUCAGCUUGUUGGUGGGGUAGUGGCUUACCAAGGCUUUGACGGGUAGCCGGCCUGAGAGGGUUACCGGCCACAUUGGGACUGAGAUACGGCCCAGACUCCUACGGGAGGCAGCAGUGGGGAAUAUUGCACAAUGGGGGGAAGCCUGAUGCAGCAACGCCGCGUGCGGGAUGCCGGCCUUCGGGUUGUAAACCGCUUUCGCCUGUGACGAAGCGUGAGUGACGGUAAUGGGUAAAGAAGCACCGGCUAACUACGUG
Molecule: ribosomal RNA, 468 nt
Filed under: uncultured bacterium
Lineage: Bacteria
Description: partial 16S ribosomal RNA
Rfam family: Bacterial small subunit ribosomal RNA
Source: RNAcentral